This 77-nucleotide transfer RNA is filed under the name Elusimicrobiales bacterium. Its description in RNAcentral is "tRNA-Glu". It matches the Rfam family "tRNA". From Rfam's summary of the family: Transfer RNA (tRNA) molecules are approximately 80 nucleotides in length. Their secondary structure includes four short double-helical elements and three loops (D, anti-codon, and T loops). RNAcentral also lists the same sequence under 1 other name. The record is from RNAcentral. Lineage: Bacteria; Pseudomonadati; Elusimicrobiota; Elusimicrobia; Elusimicrobiales.
GCCCUCAUCGUCUAGUGGCCUAGGACGCCGCCCUUUCAAGGCGGAGAUCAUGGGUUCGAAUCCCAUUGAGGGCGCCA